CCCUUCUCUUUUCAAGCCUACUAUAAUUGCAACUCCUUUGUUAAGUUCUCCUUUAGUUUCUCCUCUAGUUGCAUUAGGUUUGGCUAAUAUAAGGAUUGCAAGGUGACAAGCAUGUAUGAAAGAAGCUUAUGUGUCAUCCAUAGGACAAACAUAGGUGGUAUCAUCCAUAAGUUAGCUAGUAACACAUGUCCUCCAUUUUUUUUUUAAACUUAAUAUGAAUCUUUCACAAAUCAUAUUCAAUUACUAAGAUUUAUAUUUAGGUCCCUACAUUACAAACAAGUCCUUAUAAAAUUUUCAAAAAUGAGGGAUGUUACACUCUCCCCUCGUUGAAAGAAAAUUUGAGUCCUCUAACUUUAACGAAAAGAUGAGAUCAAGAUUGCACCUGAAUAGAGGUCAUCAACAUCAUUGAGUCUUGCUCUUUCCUUAUAACAUUCAAAUCAAAAUUUUCUUCUAAUAACUUCCAUUGUUUCACAACCAGUCUAGCCAUAAAACUUGUAGAUUUUCUACUAAAUGCAUCAGCUACCAACAUUGGCUUUACCCGAGUGUUAACAGAUGGUACAAUCAUAAUCCUUUAAAAAUUCUAUCUAUCUCCGUUGCCUCAUGUUUAACUCUUCCUGAGUAAAAAUAUACUUUAAACUUUUGUGAUCAAUAAAGACUUUAAAUGUCUGCCCAUUCAAGUAAUGUCUCCAAAUCUUUAGAGCAAAAAAAAUUGCUGCCAAUUCCAAAUCAUGAGUUGGAUAAUUCAGUUUAUGACUCUUUAGUUGUCUAGAAACAUAAGCAAUCACUUUCCCCUUUUUGCAUCGAAACACAUCCAAGGCCCUUUCAUGAAGCAUCAGUAUAAUCUACAAAUCCCUCGUUACCACUUGGAAUAGUGAGAAUAGGGGCACUAUUCAAACCAAAAGGCAUUACUAAAAAUUCGUAGUGACCAUAUCAAGUUCUAAAAAUUGUUUGUAGGAUAUCCUCCUUGAUCUUUAAUUGAUAAUAACCUAACCUCAAAUCAAUCUUGGAGAAUAUUUGUGCACCUUCUAAUUGAUCCAACAAAUCAUUAAUUCUAGGUAGGGGAUACUUCUUUUUUUUUUUAUCGCCUAAUUCAACUGCCUGUAAUCAAUACUAGCAUGAUAAGAAGAUAGCCAAUUCAUGCCAAGUAUAAUAUCAAAACCCCAAAUCUCUAGGAGAAUCAAGUCAGCAAGGAAUUCGUGUUCUCUAAUAGAAAUCAAACAAGAUGGAUAAACCAAGUUUGUAGUCAAAGAAUUCCCAACAACAGUAGUUACAUAUAACAUAUAAUCUAGUGAUCUAGGUUGAAUGCCCUAAGUAACAUGCAAAAUAUUGUGAAACAAAAGGUAAGUUAGAACUAGGAUCAAACAAAACUUUUUGUAUUUUAUCAAAAACAUUAAUAGUACCUUCAACCACUGAUUUAGAAGCUUUGAAAUCUUAUUCAGUGAUAGCAUAUACUUUAGCAUGGGCUGAUGGUCUAAGAGACAUUGGCUCUUUCUUCUUCUUCAGAGAACAAUCUUUUAUUUUAUGAUCCAACUUCCCGCAAGCAAAACAGGCUCCAAUUACCUAAAAACAUUGACUCGUUUUAUGAUUUAACCCGCAUCUUGCGCAUGAUUGAGUCCUCUGCGGUGGCUGUUCUUUCUCAAAUCUAGAUGCCUUUACCCUCUUGUUUCUUAUUUCAGAUUCAUUCCCUCUCUUACUUUUACUGAUAAACUUGUCCAUAUGUUUCUUACCCCUGAUUUCCUGAAUUUCCUCCAAGUCUCUUUCAUUAUCAAAGCCCUUUCUACCACAUCAGCAUGUGCUUGGAGGUAAGACUGAUAUUCGACUUCUUAUUGUUGGCCUUAAGCCCCUUUCAAAUUUCUUUGCUUUUCUAGUUUCAUCAUCGGUUAGCUUUUCUAGUUUUAAGGCUGAUAUCCGACUUCUUAUUGUUGGCCUUAAGCCCUUUCUUUGCUACCGUCAAAUUUCCUUUAUAUAAGAUUCAAGAACUCCAAUUCUUUCUACUCUCUAAUGUAACCUGGGAAAUAUUUAUCGUUGAACUUUUCUACGAAUACUUUCCAUGUGAUUGGCUCGUGUUUGACUUCAGAAAUCCUUUUUAUCGUUCUCCACCAGUGCUCAGCCUCUCCUUCCAAUAUAAAGGCAACAAGAGAAACUUUAUGAUCAUCAUAACAAUUUAGGACAUCAAAUAUUUUCUCUAUCCGCAUUAUUCAUCAUUCUGCUAUCAUUGGAUCAGGCUCAUCACUAAAACUAGGAGGAAGAAGCUCCUUAAAUUAUCCCAUUCCUAGUCGAUUCUAAUUUAAUGUCCUCGAUCAACACUUUCAUCUCACUCAAUUACUCAAAAGAAGAUGAAGCAAGAGGACCAAAUGUCCUCGACAUCAUAGAUUACUAAAAGAGAACAAAGUAAUUUUUCACCGAUCACUAUAGUUUACUAGACCUCAAUAUAUUUUGCAAAUCAAACAUAUCAAAUAUCUCAGUAAUCCUCAAAUUAUGCUCUGAUACCACCUUUGUCAUGCCCCCCCCAAUUUUCACAUUUCGAAUGUUUGAAUCUAUCUUAAAAUCAAUAAUAUUAUAAUUCAACAAUAAUCCAGGAUCUAAACUUACAUUUGAGGACAUUGAGAAAACAUUCAAGUCAUUCACAUUCAUAAUUUCAUAAUUCAUAAAACCUAUGCAGUUUAAAAUCAUAUACCACGUCACUAUAUGAAUCAUAAAAUCUGAAACCAACUCACUAAGAUAAUAACCACCUCAUAAAUCCACAAGUAUGGGAUUCUAUAUAAUCACAAACCAAUAUUUACCACAUGUUCAUAUCAUUACAUAAAUUAAAUUUAACACUCCAAAAUCCUAAACAUGAGAGAUCCUUUAAACUUUUAUAAAACUCAUAAGUACAGAUUAACCAUCAACAUUUCAUUAGACACCAAAUGUAUUUAUACAAUAAAAACAUAUCAUGCACUAAAGUUUGCCUCAAAAUCUUCUAGCUUUCCACUACCUCAGCCCAAUUUAAACAUUUUAGCGAGCGAUAGGCUAUCCCGAAAAUUUUAUAUAGCAACGAAGUGAGCAUAUAAAGCUCAGCAAGCGACUAACAUAUCCAUGGCGAAAGAUGACAGUUUCAAACAAAUGAGGUAUCAAAUACAAGGUAGGGAUACAAGAGUUCAUAGAUAGCCACUCAACGAAUGCUGAAUUACAAUGUUAUUUCAUUCGAAGCAUGUUUUGUUCAUAACAAAGUUGUAAAGACUAAUUAAAGCAUAUCAAUGACAUAAGGAGUAUUUCGGGACAUAUCAAUGGCGUAUGAUUUGUAACGAACCAUAUCAAUAGCAUAUUAAACAUUUCGGAGCAAAUCAAGGGCAAAGGAAAAUGUUUCAAAGCAUAUCAAUGGCAUAUGAAACAUUUCGGAGCAUAUCAAUGGCAUAUGAAAUGUUUCCGAACAUAUCAAUAGCAUACGAAAUAUUUUGGAGUAUAUCAAUAACGCAUGAAAAGUUUCGGAACAUAUCAAUGGUAUAUGAAACAUUUUGGAGCAUAUCAAUGGCGCAUGAAAUGUUUCGUAGCAUGUCAAUGGCAUAUAAAACUUUUCGAAACAUAUUAAUAGCGUAUGAAACAUUUCGAAGUAUAUCAAUGGCGUAUGAAAUGUUUCGAAACAUAUCAAUGGCAUAUGCAACAUUUCAGAGCAUAUCAAUAACAAAUUAAACAAAAGCUCAAACAUCGCAUAUAACGUUACAUACAUUUCUUUCUUAUCCAAAGUACACAUAGAAACAUAUAACUAAAGCUCUGAAUAUCAUAUCAAACACAUAGAAGGCGAAGUGGGAUUCCAAACAUAAUCUCCCACGUUUGGGAGCGUCAUCGAUCCACGUCAAGAUGAAGCCAGAGGGGGUCGACAGAGCAUCGAGGGCACUAAACAUAUAUCCUUUACCAUUUCUAGCAAAGGUCUAGAUAAUUCCUUUACCAUUUCUGGCAAAGGUCCAUAUAAUUCCACAAACAUCAAAGUAUAAAAGGGCAUUUUGAACAAUAAAAUUGGCAUUUAUCGGAAACACAUGCGGAACAACGAAAUGCAUAUGCCUAUACGAAAUAUUACGAUACAAACAUAAACUUUACAUAAUAGAUUCAGGUAUGCAAAUAAUUGAAAGACAAGAGUAUACAGGAUUUCAAAACAAUAAUGUAACGCUCAACUGAAAUAAGGAUUUUAGUAUAAAUCAAUUUCCAAAGAGAUGAAUCAAGAAUAAGUGAAAUCGACCAAAGCUCGAUUCUGAUAGAAUUUGAGAGGCACAUUGCAUGAAUUAUUUGGAUAACAAAUUAUGCUCCAAUUUGCACAAAUUAGGUGUUAAGAUAUAUCAAUCUAGUUUUUAAUAAAUCAAAUUUUGUAUGAAUUAGAGUUUCGAACAAGGAGUUAUAAAUAGUUUAGUAACCAAAAGUCAAAGAAUAUUAUCUCUGUUUUGCAGAAUUCAUAGAGUUGAUUAGAAGAGAUGUUUCAAUAGGCAUUUAUACUCCAAAUCUUUCAAAUCUGAUAUGCACAGAAAGAUUUAUGAGUCUAAUUUCUGAUAAAUCAUGUUUUGCAUAAAUCAGAAUUUCCAACAAAGAGUUAUAAACAAGAGAGUACUGAAAGGUCAGAACCAACAGUCUCUGUUUUACAGAUUUCAUAAGGUCAGUUGAAAUAACAUUUUGGGUAGGUAAUUAGACUCCAAAUUUAUCAAUCUUAGUAUCAAAAGAAAAAUCUGUGAGUCUAUUUUUAGAUGAAUUUAGAUUUUCCUAAAUCAAAAAUCGAUGCAGAAAGUUAUGGCUAGAACAAUGAAGAAAGAUCAAAUCUCAAAAAUUUUCAGAUUCACAGUUUUAUUCCCAAACGAUAGAAAUAUCAUGUACAAAGCCAAAAUCUUCCAAAUUUUUUAAAAUUAAGAUAAAAUCAGAGAUUAAGAUUACUAUAGGAAAGGAUUAGAACACUUGCCUUAGAAAAAUACGAUUACCAAAUACAGGGAAUUGAUGCAAAACCUCAAGCCAAAGCAAAGCUUAUUCUUCUUCAAUUUAAUUUCUUUUCCCUUCUCUUCUCAAGCCUACACUGGUUGUAAUUCCUUUGUUAAGUUCUCCUUUAAUUUCUCCUCUAGUUGCAUUAGGUUUGGCUAAUAUAAGGAUUGCAAGGUGGCAAGCAUACAUGAAAGAAGCUUAUGUGUCAUCCAUAGAAUAAACAUAUAGGUGGUAUCAUCCUUAGGUUAGCUAGUGACACAUGUCCUCCAUUUUUUUUAAACUUAAUUUGAAUCUUUCACAAAUCAUAUCCAAUUUCUAAGAUUUAUAUU
Molecule: long non-coding RNA, 5264 nt
Filed under: Musa acuminata (dwarf banana)
Lineage: Eukaryota; Viridiplantae; Streptophyta; Magnoliopsida; Zingiberales; Musaceae
Description: long non-coding RNA (MACU_LNC007935)
Source: RNAcentral